This 451-nucleotide ribosomal RNA is filed under the name uncultured bacterium. RNAcentral describes it as "partial 16S ribosomal RNA". It matches the Rfam family "Bacterial small subunit ribosomal RNA", at positions 28 to 507 of the family's 1533-position model. The record is from RNAcentral.
GAUGAAUGCUGGCGGCGUGCCUAACACAUGCAAGUCGAGCGGCAGCGCGGGGUGCUUGCACCCUGUCGGCGAGCGGCGAACGGCUGAGUAACGCGUAGGUAUUUGCUCCAAAGUGAGGAAUAACCGCCCGAAAGGGUAGCUAAUGCCGCAUACUGUCUUCGGAUUCAAGGAUUUAUCCGCUUUCGGAGAAGCCUGCGUUGGAUUAGGUUGUUGGUAGGGUAAUGGCCUACCAACCCGACGAUCCAUAGCUGGUCUGAGAGGAUGAUCAGCCAGACUGGAACUGAGACACGGUCGAGACUCCUACGGGAGGCAGCAGUGAGGAAUCUUCCACAAUGGGCGAAAGCCUGAUGGAGCAACGCCGCGUGAAGGAUGAAGGCCUGCGGGUUGUAAACUUCUUUUAUGAGUGAAGAAUAUGACGGUAACUCAUGGAUAAGCACCGGCUAACUACGUG